RNAcentral lists this ribosomal RNA (370 nucleotides) under Pribumia atrigularis. Its description in RNAcentral is "partial 16S ribosomal RNA". Lineage: Eukaryota; Metazoa; Arthropoda; Arachnida; Araneae; Pholcidae. The record is from RNAcentral.
UUCUUUAAGUUAUUACUUAAAGUACAACCUGCUCAAUGAACAAUUAUAUAGCCGCAGUUAACCUGUGCUAAGGUAGCAUAAUCAAUUGCUUCUUAAAUGGAAGAUAGAAUGAAAGGUUAAACAUAUAAAAAAUGUGUCUAAUAAACAAACCAACCUAAAAUAAAAGUAAAAAUGCUUUUAACUAAUGGCGGGACGACAAGACCCUAACAAACUUAAAAUUUAGUUGGGGAAACACUAUAAAAAAACUUUAUAAUAAUUCAACAUAAAUCUCUACAUAAAAACAUCCAGUUACUGUAGGGAUAACAGCGCCAUUUCUUUCUAGAGUUCUCAUCAAAAAAGAAGAAUUACGACCUCGAUGUUGAAUUAAUAA